Sapajus apella (tufted capuchin) is the source of this 328-nucleotide long non-coding RNA. RefSeq lists it as uncharacterized. NCBI's taxonomy places the organism in Eukaryota, Metazoa, Chordata, Mammalia, Primates, Cebidae. The transcript is spliced from 3 exons. The record is from RefSeq and is a predicted model, not a curated record.
UAAUACCAAUUUAAUGAAAAUGUUAAUAAUGCCAAUUAAAUGUAAAUGUGUGUUAUCCAUAGCAGUUACAUCAUCAGCACAAAAAAAAGGAAGAAAUUGUCUUAAAGUAUUUAACAACUAUUAUCUGACUCGGCAAAGAAGCCUCUCACUGACAGGGACAGUCCAACAUAAGUUUUUUUUGUUUCACUUUCAUUUACUCCUUAAGGUAAACACAACUAUCAAGCAGCAUUCCUGUUGGAACUAGUCUCGUUUGUUCAGUUACAACCCCAGGUUGGCCACGGAUGCAAGAGUCUCGCAAAAGUCAAUGAAAGCCUUCUGUGGGAAUCAA